AGUUUUAUAGUUUAUAUUAAAAUAUUAAAUUGCAAGUUUAAUGAAUGUUUAAGACUUACCUA
Molecule: transfer RNA, 62 nt
Filed under: Olidiana ritcheriina
Lineage: Eukaryota; Metazoa; Arthropoda; Insecta; Hemiptera; Cicadellidae
Description: tRNA-Cys
Source: RNAcentral